CUACGGGUUGCUGCAGUUAAGAAUAAUCUACAAUGCACGCAAGUGUGAUAGUUUGAGCCAGAGUGCUUCUCAACGAGAAGCUUUUGCCAAAUGUAAAAAGUUUGGCGAAUAAGGACUGGGUAAGACUAGUGCCAGCCGCCGCGGUAAUACUAGCGGUCCAAGUCGCAGCCAUUAUUAUUGGGUCUAAAACAUCCGUAGCUUGCUUCGUAAGUUUCUUGUGAAAUCCUACAUCUCAAGUGUGGGGCGUGCAAGAAAUACUGCGGAGCUAGAGACUGGAAGACGUAACGAGUACGUUCGGAGUAGCGGUAAAAUGUUUUAAUCCCGGACGGACUAACAACAGCGAAGGCACGUUACGAGGACAGUUCUGACAGUAAGGGAUGAAGGCUAGGGGCGCAAAACGGAUUAGAUACCCGCGUAGUC
Molecule: ribosomal RNA, 420 nt
Filed under: uncultured archaeon
Lineage: Archaea
Description: partial 16S ribosomal RNA
Rfam family: Archaeal small subunit ribosomal RNA
Source: RNAcentral